ACAAGCGGUGGAGUAUGUGGUUUAAUUCGAUGCAACGCGAAAACCUUACCUGCCCUUGACAUCCUCGGAACUUGUCAGAGAUGACUUGGUGCCUUCGGGAACCGAGAGACAGGUGCUGCAUGGCUGUCGUCAGCUCGUGUUGUGAAAUGUUGGGUUAAGUCCCGCAACGAGCGCAACCCUUAUCCUUUGUUGCCAGCGGUCCGGCCGGGAACUCAAAGGAGACUGCCAGUGAUAAACUGGAGGAAGGUGGGAUGACGUCAAGUCAUCAUGGCCCUUACGACCAGGGCUACACACGUGCUACAAUGGCGCAUACAAAGAGAAGCGACCUCGCGAGAGCAAGCGGACCUCAUAAAGUGCGUCGUAGUCCGGAUUGGAGUCUGCAACUCGACUCCAUGAAGUCGGAAUCGCUAGUAAUCGUGGAUCAGAAUGCCACGGUGAAUACGUUCCCGGGCCUU
This 455-nucleotide ribosomal RNA is filed under the name uncultured Enterobacteriaceae bacterium. RNAcentral's name for it is "bacterial SSU rRNA". It matches the Rfam family "Bacterial small subunit ribosomal RNA", at positions 925 to 1382 of the family's 1533-position model. Lineage: Bacteria; Pseudomonadati; Pseudomonadota; Gammaproteobacteria; Enterobacterales; Enterobacteriaceae. The record is from RNAcentral.